RNAcentral lists this ribosomal RNA (482 nucleotides) under uncultured bacterium. Its description in RNAcentral is "partial 16S ribosomal RNA". It matches the Rfam family "Bacterial small subunit ribosomal RNA", at positions 30 to 507 of the family's 1533-position model. The record is from RNAcentral.
AUUGAACGCUGGCGGCAUGCCUUACACAUGCAAGUCGAACGGUAACAGGUCUUCGGAUGCUGACGAGUGGCGAACGGGUGAGUAAUACAUCGGAACGUGCCCGAUCGUGGGGGAUAACGAAGCGAAAGCUUUGCUAAUACCGCAUAGGAUCUACGGAUGAAAGCAGGGGACCGCAAGGCCUUGCGCGAACGGAGCGGCCGAUGGCAGAUUAGGUAGUUGGUGGGAUAAAAGUUUACCAAGCCGACGAUCUGUAGCUGGUCUGAGAGGACGACCAGCCACACUGGGACUGAGACACGGCCCAGACUCCUACGGGAGGCAGCAGUGGGGAAUUUUGGACAAUGGGCGAAAGCCUGAUCCAGCCAUGCCGCGUGCAGGAUGAAGGCCUUCGGGUUGUAAACUGCUUUUGUACGGAACGAAAAGACUCUGGUUAAUACCUGGGGUCCAUGACGGUACCGUAAGAAUAAGCACCGGCUAACUACGUG